UACGUAGGGGGCAAGCGUUGUCCGGAAUCACUGGGCGUAAAGCGCACGUAGGCGGAUGUGUCAGUCAGGGGGUGAAAUCCCUAGGCUCAACCUAGGAACUGCACUCGAAACUGUUUUAUCUUGAGUGCCGGAGAGGAAAGCGGAAUUCCUGGUGUAGAGGUGAAAAUUCGUAGAUAUCAGGAGGAACACCAGUGGCGAAGGCGGCU
This 206-nucleotide ribosomal RNA is filed under the name uncultured bacterium. RNAcentral's name for it is "partial 16S ribosomal RNA". It matches the Rfam family "Bacterial small subunit ribosomal RNA", at positions 524 to 726 of the family's 1533-position model. The record is from RNAcentral.